GAUUCUGGCUCAGGAUGAACGCUGGCGGCGUGCCUAACACAUGCAAGUCGAACGAAGCAUGGGAAGCGGAGAUUCGUCGAAGGUUCCAUGACUUAGUGGCGGACGGGUGAGUAAUGUGUGAGCAACCUGCCUUUCAGAGGGGGACAACAGUUGGAAACGACUGCUAAUACCGCAUAACGUAUUUGGUCGGCAUCGGCCGGAUACCAAAGGAGCAAUCCGCUGAAAGAUGGGCUCACAUCUGAUUAGCUUGUUGGUGAGGUAACGGCUCACCCAAGGCUGCGAUCAGUAGCCGGACUGAGAGGUUGAACGGCCACAUUGGGACUGAGAUACGGCCCAGACUCCUACGGGAGGCAGCAGUGGGGAAUAUUGGGCAAUGGGCGAAAAAGCCUGACCCAGCAACGCCGCGUGAAGGAAGAAGGUCUUCGGAUUGUAAACUUCUUUUAUGAGGGACGAAGGACGUGACGGUACCUCAUGAAUAAGCCACGGCUAACUACGUGCCAGCCGCGGC
This 508-nucleotide ribosomal RNA is filed under the name uncultured bacterium. Its description in RNAcentral is "bacterial SSU rRNA". It matches the Rfam family "Bacterial small subunit ribosomal RNA", at positions 15 to 518 of the family's 1533-position model. The record is from RNAcentral.